AUUGAACGCUGGCGGAAUGCUUUACACAUGCAAGUCGAACGGCAGCACGGACUUCGGUCUGGUGGCGAGUGGCGAACGGGUGAGUAAUGUAUCGGAACGUGCCCAGUCGUGGGGGAUAACGUAGUGAAAAUUACGCUAAUACCGCAUACGAUCUAUGGAUGAAAGCGGGGGAUCGCAAGACCUCGCGCGAUUGGAGCGGCCGAUAUCAGAUUAGGUAGUUGGUGGGGUAGAGGCCCACCAAGCCAACGAUCUGUAGCUGGUCUGAGAGGACGACCAGCCACACUAGAACUGAGACACGGUCUAGACUCCUACGGGAGGCAGCAGUGGGGAAUUUUAGACAAUGGGCGAAAGCCUGAUCCAGCCAUUCCGCGUGCAGGAUGAAGGCCCUCGGGUUGUAAACUGCUUUUGUACAGAACGAAAAGGUUUCUACUAAUACUAGGAGCUCAUGACGGUACUGUAAGAAUAAGCACCGGCUAACUACGUGCCAGCCGCCGCGGUAA
Molecule: ribosomal RNA, 500 nt
Filed under: uncultured bacterium
Lineage: Bacteria
Description: partial 16S ribosomal RNA
Rfam family: Bacterial small subunit ribosomal RNA
Source: RNAcentral